This 810-nucleotide ribosomal RNA is filed under the name uncultured bacterium. Its description in RNAcentral is "bacterial SSU rRNA". It matches the Rfam family "Bacterial small subunit ribosomal RNA", at positions 8 to 796 of the family's 1533-position model. The record is from RNAcentral.
AGAGUUUGAUCAUGGCUCAGAACGAACGCUAGCGGCGUGGAUAAGACAUGCAAGUCGAACGAGACUUUCAGCUGUAGCAAUACAGUUGAAAGUUUAGUGGCGAACGGGUGCGUAACACGUGGGCAAUCUGCCGAGAAGUGGGGGAUAGCUCGCCGAAAGGCGAAUUAAUACCGCAUGUGAUCAGGAAAGGAUUCUUUCCAACAUCAAAGCCGGGGCAACCUGGCGCUUCUUGAUGAGCCCGCGGCCUAUCAGCUAGUUGGUGAGGUAACGGCUCACCAAGGCUUUGACGGGUAGCUGGUCUGAGAGGACGACCAGUCACACUGGAACUGAGACACGGUCCAGACACCUACGGGUGGCAGCAGUCGAGAAUUUUUCUCAAUGGGGGAAACUCUGAAGGAGCGACGCCGCGUGGAGGAUGGAUGUCUUCGGAUUGUAAACUCCUGUCAUUUGAGAACAAGGCGCCGAUAUUAACUGUAUCGGCGUUGAUAGUAUCAGAAGAGGAAGAGACGGCUAACUCUGUGCCAGCAGCCGCGGUAAUACAGAGGUCUCAAGCGUUGUUCGGAUUCAUUGGGCGUAAAGGGUGCGUAGGUGGCGCUGUAAGUCAGGUGUGAAAUUUCGGAGCUUAACUCCGAAACUGCAUUUGAUACUGCGGUGCUUGAGGACUGGAGAGGAGACUGGAAUUUACGGUGUAGCAGUGAAAUGCGUAGAGAUCGUAAGGAAGACCAGUGGCGAAGGCGGGUCUCUGGACAGUUCCUGACACUGAGGCACGAAGGCCAGGGGAGCAAACGGGAUUAGAUACCCUAGUAGUCC